RNAcentral lists this ribosomal RNA (253 nucleotides) under uncultured bacterium. RNAcentral's name for it is "partial 16S ribosomal RNA". It matches the Rfam family "Bacterial small subunit ribosomal RNA", at positions 524 to 776 of the family's 1533-position model. The record is from RNAcentral.
UACGAAGGGGGCGAGCGUUGUUCGGAUUUACUGGGCGUAAAGGGCGCGUAGGCGGCCCUCUUUGUCGCGUGUGAAAGCCCCGGGCUCAACCUGGGAAUGGCGCGCGAAACGGGGGGGCUGGAGUUCGGGAGAGGAGCGUGGAAUUCCCAGUGUAGAGGUGAAACUCGUAGAUAUUGGGAAGAACACCGGUGGCGAAGGCGGCGCUCUGGACCGAGACUGACGCUGAGGCGCGAAAGCGUGGGGAGCAAACAGG